RNAcentral lists this non-coding RNA (59 nucleotides) under Herpetomonas pessoai. The record is from RNAcentral. Lineage: Eukaryota; Euglenozoa; Kinetoplastea; Trypanosomatida; Trypanosomatidae.
UAAAUACAUUAUAUUUAAUUAUCUUAAUUUAAUUUUAUUUUUAUAUUUUGACUGCGACG